Molecule: long non-coding RNA, 32330 nt
Filed under: Lotus japonicus
Lineage: Eukaryota; Viridiplantae; Streptophyta; Magnoliopsida; Fabales; Fabaceae
Description: long non-coding RNA (LJAP_LNC001045)
Source: RNAcentral
UUUUUACUGCCUCUUUCUCAAUAAAUGCAAAGAGGGGUUGGACAUACACUUGGUACGCUCCAAACAUGUGAACUAGGAUUGUUGCAUUAGCAAUGUCUAUAAGCCAAUAUGCGUUAGAGUAGCCAAAUCCAGUGAGGAGAUUCCCAGGUGCUGCGUCUCCAAAAGCAGCAUAGCCAAAGCACCCACAAAGCAUGUAAAAUACUGUGAUAACACUAAUGCUUAACUUUGUGGCCUUCUUCAUUGUUUUCACUUCAGAUGGUGGGUUUUUUAUGGUGUCCUGUGUAGUCAGAAUUUAUUAUAUGUUAAUUAUUUUCAAUGAUAAAAUUGUCUUACUUUUAAGAGAAGAAAAAUAAAAGGUACCUGAAUUUCAAUGAGAAUUUGAGAGAACGAAUAGGCGAAGGCUAUGCAACCAAAAGAUUGGAAAAUCCCCCACACUUUUUCAAUUUUUGUCACAGUUCUAAUGGUAACUCCUGUGAGACUACCCUUGAUGGUACCAUUCUCUGUUCAAGAACCAAUUAAGACAAGAAUAUCAGCAAUGAAAAAUAACGAAGAAGUUUUUUUAUUAUCAUACACAAUUUAAAAUAGGGAUGUGACCUGAAAUUUUAGCAAUUCCCAGGAAGAGACCAAUAAAGGAAUAAGUGAAAGACAUGAUUGCUGCAACAAUUGAGAGCCACCAUGUUUGAGGAAAAUCUGGAAUUUGAGAUAAGAAAAUUUGGCUUACUCCAAAACCGAUCAUGUAUGGGUUGCUAUCUAUGGGACAUGGGUUUUUUCCGCCUGAAGAAUGGAGACAGUUAGUCCUUGUUAUUGCCCUGUCAUGCAAAAACCGGUUAUAUCAAUAAUGUAUAGUAGUUAUCAAACACUUAUUUCUAAAUAAAAUCAGUUUCUAAAUUUUAAUAUCUCAAAAAUAUCAGAAGGAACCAUUAACUCACAUCAUACUAAUGGCACCUGCGAUUGUGUAUCCUAUUGCAGCGCCGUAAAGACUCGAGUACUGGACUAUCCCACAAAUCUUAGCACUGGUAGUACCUGCAAAAUACAUUCUUUACAAUCAAUCAAUCUGAACCAUUUAAUAUAAGAAUCCAUGUUGGUGCUACUCGAUCAUCGUAUAUUAAUGUGUGUGUAUAUGUAUAGUUACCAAGAAUGUUCUGAACUGCAUCCAUGAAAGAAUAGUUUCUUUUUCCGGAAAUGGGGUCUCCUAAACGAUAACAUUCAGCUAGAAGCAAUGAAGUGUACCAAGUAAUGCUGCUGAAGAUGAUCAGCGCUACAGGACCAGCAACCCAACCCAUUUGAGCUAUUGCCCAUGCUAAAGACAGCACCCCAGAUCCUACAACAGCGGUUACUAUGUGGGAGCUUGUAGUCCAAACGGUUCCUGCCAGAAAUUAACACAUCAACUAUGAACAUCGAUCUCCAUGGAAGUGAUUCUUUCAUGUUUGGAAAAUAACAUUAAAAUCAAGUAAACUAGAAGCUUAUCCCGGUAGCUUUGAAACAUGCACUUAGUGUGUGUUUGAGAAUGUGCUAGGCAACCACGUAAUUGAUUUUGGGAAGAAUUGAUUUUCACAUGUUUGGAUAUUUUCUAUGAUAAUCAAUUAUGGGUUCAAAAUUAAUUAUAGAUAACACACCUAGUGGUAACGUAUGAGGUGAGUAAAAUUAAUUCUCAAAAAGUAAAAUCAGUUUCGAAUGUUUCUUAACUCAAAUGGCCUUCAAUUGGUGUAAGCAUCUGUAUAUUGAUUAUGAAAUACAUUUUCAUUUUGAUCAUUACACACCUAAAAUCAAUUCUAAUCAAAGUUAUUCAAACGAAAUUCUCUUAAAGUAAUCACUUUUAUGAUAAAUGUAUCCAAACAUAAAUCACUUUUAAUAAUCAGUUAUGCCACAAUCAAUUCUAUCAUAAUUCUACAGGUUUGUAUUAACUUCUCUAUCGUCAUUAUUAAUUAUGAGACUUAUAAUGAAUUCCAAAUUGAUUUUAAAUUUAGAACCAAAUAUCCAAACAUGCAAUUACAUGAUUUGGCCAUUUAUGAAUUGGUGAUGACAAAAAUUGGCACAAACUUAUUUUAUGUGACAGAAACGUGUGGAGGUUUAAUAUGAGAGAGAGAUCUAUUCUCCUAAGAGACAAAAUUAUUAAUGUAAAAUUUGUACAACAUGAAUUAAUUUGUACCUGUUCGUUUAGGACGGCCAUCAUCAUCAUAGAAUUUGGAGUCGGGCAGUGAAGAGAAACCAUCUAUGGAGUCCUUCACCAUCUCAAAUGCGUUUAAGGUUGGUUCUGAAAGAGUUUUCAAUCAUCAAUUGAACAGGAGACAGGAAAUGUAGUAUAAUCGAGAAUACUUAUAGGGAUGAGUCCCUGUAAUAGAAUUAUCACACAUCAACAAAAUAGUCACCUAAGCUUAGGUGGACACAAAUUUAACACCUAAGUUUGUGUUUUGUAUGGUUGUUUGGUCCAAUGUCAAAGUACUUUCAACUCAGACCAACAUUGAGGCUAUAUUCACUUUUGUUCCUAGAAAACAAUGAGGCUAUAUUCACUUUUGUUCCUAGAAAAUCGGGUGCCGAGGUAGAUUCAGGUUAAAAUGGAAUGAAAGUAAAAACAAAUAAGCACUAAAAUUGAGCAGAAUCAAUGAAAAACCACGUAACUCAUUAACUAAAAAUGAUCAAUUAAACAAAUAAUGUAGGGUAGUAAGAGGGUCACGUCUCCUCUCGUCUCUUUUUACUAAUUAAUUAAUCAAUUAAUUUUCAUAUGUUAAAUGACAAUCAACAUAGUAGUACUUUAAAUAUUAAUUAUUUUCAUUGAUGGCAUAAUUAACAUAAGGAAUCUAUAUACUUUAGAAAAGAGGAAGGUUGUGAGCCCCACCUCCAUGAUUUGGCACUCCAAUAAUGGCUCUCACCCACCUCCCCUCUUUACUUGACAAGUGUCACCGUCUUAUUGUUUUGGACUAAUAUAGUAUAAGCCCAUUUUGAUUUCAGUUUUUUUAUGGAGGCCCAUUAUUCAAAGUCAUUCAAGUUUUUGAAACUGAAUUUUCAUUAUGUUUUUAAAACGGAUAUUUUUUUGUAUAAACCAUUUAUUAGGAGCAAAAAAUUCCAUUAUAGGUUUUUAAAACAUUCCUUAUUUAAAAUCUCCAACAAUUUUGUGGUUAUGGAUUUUUAAAAGAAAUGGAGGAAUUAAUUCAAUUAGCUCUAUUUUUAACAAUUUUUUCGUUUUUUUUAAUUUGAAAUAAAUCAAGCAAAGAUCAAAAUUUGAAAAAAAAUGUAUUAAUUCAGAUUUUUUUAUAAAAUAUAAAAACCACGAAAAUUGGUGUUUAAUUAAGGAAAAAAAGUCAGGCCAUUCAUUAAAAAGGUUUAACUCAAAUUGCAAAAAAAUAGUGUUAAUUUUGCUUAAAAAAAGUCAAGAAUUAAAAUGGUGUUAAUUUUGUUGAGGAAGUCACGGUUGAAUUUCAUUCAAGCAUUAACACCAUGUUAAUGUUGUUUGCAAAACAAGUCAAACCUAAUGAACUUAGUGUUAUUUACCAUCAAAGUUGCACGACGAUUUUAACAUAUUAAUUAAUUUCCUAUUUAACUGUAUUAAGACCAUGUUAAUUGUAUAUCCUAUUUUCCUAUAAUAGGAAAUUAUGAUGAGUAAUUCACGUGCAGCCUUCAAAUUUGGUCCAUAUUAAUUAAUUUUUAUACAGAACAUUGAGCUGAAAUCUCACAUAUGCAGAAUUUGAUUCCAAGUUCGUGUAAAACAAAAAAUCAACAAUAUGGGUUCCUAGGAAAAGAGGCCUUUCUCUUGGUCGAUUGCAAUUUAUUGCUCCUGGAAUGGGAGAAAAUUACUACAUGCGAGUUUUAUUAACUAGGCAAAAAGAUUGUGACAGUUUUAAAAGCAUAAGAACUGUUAAGGGUGUUGUUUAUCCCACAUUCUGCGAUGCAUGCGAAGCGAUGGGAUUAAUGGAGGAUGACCGGGAGUAUGUUGAUGGAAUUUCAAUUGCAAGUGAACUUGGUUCCGGAUCUCAGCUAAGGAAAUUAUUUACUAGAAUGCUGAUGACAAACUUGAUUUCCAGGCCACAAGAAGUUUGGAGAAAGUCUUGGACUCUUUUAAGUGAUGGGAUUUUAUAUGACAGAAGAAAAGCACUCAACAUUCCAGGUAUUUCAUCAAAUUAAUUUUUUGGACACAAUUAGUAAUAUUUACUUUUUUCUCCCUUAUGAAUUAGUAUGCGUUUAUUUUUUCACAUGUAUAAUUGUCCAUGGCUAUUACUAUUUAUUUCCAUAUGUUAAUUGAACCCAACAGUAUUUACCGUAUUUUAGAAAGUACGCCACAACCUAAGAGAUUGGACAACUACCAUAUCAUAAUUAUAUACCAUAUCUAUUUUCUAAUUUUUAUAGAGAUAUUUUGUUCUUAUACUCAAAUUAACCUAUAAUUAGUUUUCCCAAUAGAAAAAAACAAAGAUUCACCUACAAAUCUCACUGUUAUUUGUUGCAGGUUAAAAAAAAAUCAGAAAAAAUCUAUAUCAGAGCUUCUAUUGUCUAAAUAAAUGUGUCAAGUUUUUUUUUUAAAGUUUUAUACCUGAGUAUCACGUUAAAAAUAAUACAAUUUUUUUAAAAAAUAUUCCAAAUUUGACAUUAUCAAAAUAUGACGAGUCUUAUUAGAAGGAAAAAUUUAAGUUGUGUAAAUGCAUUUUCUUUCUCAAAAAGAAAAAAUUAAAACUCAAUAUUUCUCAUUUAAUUUAAUUUUCUUAUUUAAUUUAUUUUCCUUAUUUCAUUUAAUUUCCUUCAGAUCUUCGUAUAGAGGAUGAAGAAUUACAUAACUUAUGUAUGAUUGAGAUUGAAAAAAUAUUGCAAGGCAAUGAAAGGUCACUCAAGGAAUUUCCAUGUUUACCAUACCCUAAAUUUUCAGAAAUUCAUAAUUUUGAAGAUAGAUUCGUUGCAGAUGAGUUGAAAUAUAAUAGGGCUGAAAUGGUAAAGAUUCAUGAUGAAUUGGUCAGUUCUCUUACUUCAGAGCAAGAGAUUUUUAUAAGAAUGUUUUGGAUGAUGUUUUGUCUGAUAACAGUUGAUUCUUUUUUCUAUAUGGUUUUGGAGGAACUGGAAAAACAUUUGUUUGGAAUAUAUUAUAUGCUGCUUUGCGUUCAAGGGGCCUUAUCGUCUUAAAUGUCGCAUCUCGCGGAAUUGCAUCUCUAUUGUUACCUGGAGAUAGAACUGUUCAUUCAAGGUUUUCUAUUCCUAUUUCAAUAAAUGAGAUAUCAACCUGUAAUCUUCGUCAAGGUUCCCCAAAAGCUCAAUUAUUGAAAAAAGCAAGCCUAAUUAUUUGGGAUGAGACACCUAUGUUAAACAAACAUUGCUUUGAAGCUUUAGACAGAUCUCUAAAUGACAUUAUGAAGACUCAGUCUACCCAUGGUUAUGACAUUCCAUUCGGAGGUAAAGUUGUGGUACUGGGAGACGACUUUAGACAAAUACUUCCAGUUAUUUCUAAAGGAAGCCGUUCUGAAAUUGUCGGUUCAGCUAUCAAUUCUUCAUAUCUGUGGAAGCAUUGCAAGGUAAUGAAGUUGACUGUUAAUAUGAGAUUGCAAAAUGCUACAUCAACUUCUACAGCAGCAGAAAUAAAAAAGUUUGCAGAUUGGUUGCUUCAAGUGGGAGAUGGUACAGUUAAAACGAUUGAUGAGGAAGAAACACUUAUUGAGAUUCCUCCAGAUCUUCUUAUUGAACAGUGUAAGGAACCGUUGUUUGAAUUAGUUAAUUUUGCAUAUCCAAAACUUGCACAUAAUUUGCAAAAAAGUUCAUUCUUUCAAGAAAGAGCGAUCCUUGCACCAACACUUGAAAGUUUAGAGGAAAUCAACAACUUUACGUUAGCAAUGAUUUCUGGUGAUGAAACAUAAUAUUUGAGCUGUGAUACUCCGUGCAAGUCAGGCAAAGAUUCAGGUGACAAUGCGGAAUGAUUUACAUCUGAAUUCUUAAAUGAUUUCAAAUGCUCUGAAAUACCAAACCAUGCAAUUAAAUUGAAAGUUGGUGUCCCUAUCAUGCUCAUUCGAAACAUAGACCAAGCUGUAGGGUUGUGUAAUAGCACUCGAAUGAUAGUCAACGCAUUGACUAAAUAUAUAAUUGUUGCUACUGUUUUAAAUGGAAACAAGAUGGGUGAAACAACAUUUAUUCCAAGGAUGGGCUUUACUCCAUCUAAUUCUGACAUUCCAUUCAAAUUUCAGCGCAGACAAUUCUCUGUUACUUUAUGUUUUGUGAUGACUAUAAAUAAAAGUCAGGGACAAUCUUUAUCUCAUGUUAGACUGUAUUUGCCAAGGCAUGUCUUUACUCACGGGCAGCUAUAUGUUGCACUUUCUAGAGUUAAAUCUAGAAAAAUGUUGAAGAUGCUCAUCAUUGAUGACGAAGGAGUUGUAUCUAACACUACACGCAACGUAGUGUAUUAAGAAGUCUUCGAUAAUAUUUGACAUGUAAGUGCUGAUUUAUCUUACAAUUAAUUUGAAUUUAAAUUUUAGAAAUAGGAAAACUGAUAUGAUUAUUCUCUUUAUUGUUGGUAGCAUAAAAAUAUAACAAGCAACUUGAAAUUAUACACUGUUUAUAUUUGUAUUGGUUACUGAUUUUUACACUUAUAAUUUGUUUUUUUCCUUUCUAGGUUCUAUAGCUCAAAUAUGCUUAUUGACAACAAGCUCGAUUAUGAAGUUUAUAUCAUUAAUCAUGGACUACAAUUUUGAAUAAGGGUUCAUGUUGCUGUCAUUGUUAUGUUUAUCUUAUUUUAAUUUCAAUGUAAUGUAUUACUUAAAAAGUUGUUUUUUAUUACUAUUCAAGUGUUGACAUAGUUAGGUAUCUACAACCUCAUCAAAUUAAUCUAUUUACUGUGCUAUAUUCAUCUACAUGUUUGUAACAUAUGUUCGGUUUCAUAUCUUUUAUACUUAUUGAAAAGAGUCUAAACUAAGUUAAAACACAUUACUACUGAUUCAUCUUUACAAUAAAUUUAAUCGCCGUGCAACGCACGGGUAAAAAACACUAGUACUAAUGAAAUUAUUUACGUUGGAAAGUCAAUCAUCAUAUUACCCAAUAACUCUCAUUUAUGCCAAUGAUUUCCGUUGAAUUCUUGUUAAAGUGUCUUGUAUUAUUUCCUUUAAUUGGCUAAUACUUCCUCUGAUCCUAUUUAUAAGCAUGAAAGAGAAGAAAAAUCUUGGUCCUUUUUAUAAGAACCAAAUGAAAGUUUGAGCUAUAUUAAUUAAUUUUUUCCAAUGAUGCCCUUAUUAAUUCUAACUUGUAAAAUGUGUCUCAUUAAUUAUUCUCUCUCUUUUCCACUUUCCAACACUAAUAACAAAGGGUAAUUUUGGAAGUUCAUUUUAAUUUAAGACAAAUUUAAUGCAUUUUAUCUAGUUUAACUACAUUUCUUAAACUAUAUGAAUUUUUUUUUGUUGCUUAUAAAUAGGACCGGACGGAGUACCAUUUAAUGGCAUAAAUGGUAGUAUUCAUCUAUUCCUUCUACUCCCUCCAUUCCAAUUUGUUUGUUGUUUUAGCAUUUGCACACAGUUUAAGAGCUAAUCAUUAGAUUAAUAUUUUCACCAACAUACCCCUAUUUAUUUUCAUUCAUGUCAAUCAUUCCUUCCUCAUUUUCCACACUACUAAUUUCACAUCUUUACUAAUACAAUGUUAAUUUUUUGACAGAACCAAUACAUUGCUAAGUGUGGGAGAAUUGAUUUGUUUAUGUUCUCUGAAUAAUCACAUCAAGUAUAGCCUUUUCAAUUUCCUGUGCAUUCUUUUAUUCUAUUUUUUAAAACUCUCAGUUUUUCCACUGAGAAUUCGUACUCUCCCCUAAAUAUGUCAAAAUUUACAAACUUCCAAUUUUAUCAACUAUACAUGCUUCCCUCGCACCAAAAAACUAUUUAUGCUUCCCAUCAAAAUUUUACCUAAAUUUGAACCACUAAUCAUCUUUCCACAGUACUUAAAUUUUCCCUCUUAAUCUAAGUUUUAGAUUUCCUCCUUUGAAUGUUUUUGUUUCCCCCUUAUAUUUGCUUAUAAAUGUUUUGUUUCAUGCUAAUAUUGCUUGUAGUAAGAAAAAUGGCAGCAACAAAAGUUUAUCUUUUCCAUUGAAAAUAAAAGAGUGUGUAAAUUCAAAAUUUGAGUUACUACUAUAAGAGAGAAACUUGACCAGAAUAAUGGUUUACAUUUUUGUAAAUAGGGAUAGUAAUCAAUAGAGAUAGUGGGGAUAGUUAGUUUAAGUGGUAGGUUGGUUUAUUAAGAAACUUUGAAUUAAUUAUUCAACAAGGGUAUAGAGGGAAGAAAAUGGGAAAAAAUGCAUUGAAUAUAUAAAACAACAACCAUUUUGGAAUUUCUAGCAAAAGCUAAAACAACAAACAAAUUGGAACAGAGGGAGUAUUAUAUAAAAGAAUGGUACGAAGAUGGAAAGAGAGAAAAACAUAGGUCUCAACUUUCUUCCCCUUUUUUUAUAUACUUUCUUCUUGGCAGUAUUUUAUGAAGGCUUCAUACGGUUUGUCUCGAAUUAACGGGUUAGAUCGUAGUUGUGUAAGCCAUUGGGAGCAAAACCUUAAGUUAGCUGCAUAAUUCCACUGCUGAUCCAGUUUUGGUAGCAAUUAGUAUUCGCUGAAUAAAUUUAGUUAGACAUAUUGGGUUUGGACGUCAUCUGUUGUGUUUGAAAAAAUACAAACUAUGUUUUAAAAUGAUGUAAGUUUGAGAUCAUGAUUUAUUUUCAUUCUAUACCAGAUUUAAUCAAAAUUUAGUCUUCGUGUGGCAUAGUUCACAUGUUGUGUUGUUUCUUGAAAAAAAAAAAAUCUCUUUGCUCUUCCAUGUUGCUUCCCCUUGAAUUUCGCCUCCUAUAUCUCUUUGUUCUGUUAUUGUGUUUCUUAUCUUCCCCUUUAAUGUGAAAGAUUGUUUGCAGAUAAAAUACCUUGGUGAGGAUGGUGAGAAUGUUCCUGUGGCCGCUGUAGCUGUUUUCUCUCCUUGGGACCUUUUGGUUAGUUAGUAUUUUGAUUUUAAAAACAAAACUUCUACAGGACAAAUGGCAUUGAUUAAUGUGCAUAUGUUAUGAAGUAUCACCCCAAUAUAUCUUUCAUCCGAAUUUGUCUGUGUAUCCAAUCGAAUAUGUGUGUGUGUGUGCAUAGAGAUUAAAUCUUUAAAUAAUAUAGUCCUCUAUAUGACAUUGUUUCUUUGUCUUUGCUAUUGUUUCUUGCCCCCUUCUUUAUUUUGGUUGAUGUUUUCUCUUUAGUUUCCUAGUUUUCUUGUCUAUUUUUCUUUAAAAAAAAAUGAAUGUUACCAAGAGAGCACCAUGGCAUAAUUGAGUAUUUGAGUUACCAACUCAUGCUGAUUUUGAUUUCCUUUUUGCUUAUUCUUCAAGGUGGGCAAAGCACAUUAGAAAGCUGUCAAGUAUUACAGGUAAGGUUUCUUAAUUUCCAUCCAUUGCUCUGUUUUCAUUAGUAGAAACAACUCUGUUGUGGACAUCAAGGGGCUUGUGUAAUACUCCCUCCGUUCCUAAAUAUAAGACAUAUUCCAAAAAAUUGCGCUUAUUAAGGAAGCACUUAAUGUGACUAAUUAUUGUAUUGAUUUUUAAAAAAAGCAUAAAUUCUUCCUUAUUUAACCUUUGUUAUGCACUCACCAUUGAUAUCUCAAAAGUCAUAUUUAGUUGGAUUAGUAGUAAUUAAUGGUAGGUGGUAACUUUGGAAUUGAAAACAUAUAAUUAAUGUGGAGGGUAAAAAUGGAAGAGUACAAAACCUUUUGUUAGAUUAUUGUAACUAGGUCUUAUAUUUAGGAACUUCAAAAUUUUGAAACUAGGUCUUAUAUAUAGGAACAGAGGAAGUACAUUUUAUUGUAUAAUGUGCUUUACUAAGUCCAUGCAGAGAAGCUUAAGUUAUAGUAAUUUUCAUUUCUACUUUGAUUGAAUAUUAUCAAUGUUACAUAUUUUUAACCUAUUACAUAAUUCUUUUCAAUUCAUGUAGGUUCUGCAUCAUAAACAAUUAAAUUCCACAAGGCAUAAUUAUAUUGAACUUAAAUGGCAUGUUCGUUUUGGAAUAUAAUAUUCAUACUUCAAAGUUAGGACUUAUUACUAUGUACUGAAGCUAUGAAAUUAGUCAGUUAACUGCUUAAAAUAGAGAGGGAAAUUAGCGACGGAGUUUGUCCCUCUCUACCAUUGAUAAAUUAGAGAGGGAAUGAAUAUUAAAAUGAUAGCUAGUUAGCGACGGAAGUAUCCGUCGCAAACAGCGACAGACUGCUACGUUCUGUCUUCAAUAGCGAUGGAACGUUCCGUCGCAAAUAGCGACGGCUAGUUAUUUUCCGUCGUAAAUAGCGACGGAAACUUCCAUCGAAAAUAGCGACGGAUUCAUGGGGUAAUCCUGUAACCGAUUUAGCGACGAAAAUAUAUACGUUAGCGACGACCAGUUUCCGUCGCUAUUAGCGACGGAUUUAAUUUUCCGUCGUUAAUUUUUUAGCGACGCCACUUAUCACGACGGAUGACGUUCCCUCGCUAAAUAGCUUUUUUUUAGUGUCCAUGAGUCUAAUUCUUUAGUUGAUUAUUAAGUCAUGUUAUUUUUAUUUAAUGAGUUGGUGGCUUUUCAAUAAUGCGACUAACUCUCUAAGGUUCUAAAGAAGUAGUUAAAAAAAAUCACUUUAAGUGAGUAGAUAACUCAUAACAUCUUUUUUUAAUACGCCACGAAUAUGGAUGUUUUUGUUUAUGUAUACAAUAAUGGAUAUGUUUGGCUAACUUAAUCCUUAUAUCACUAGAUUAAAAACUCUUUAAAAGUGUUAGAUAAAUAAACUUAUUUCAGUAGCUUAAGAUUUUUUUAAUAAGCUGCAUGAGGUAUUUUAUAGCUUAAAGGUUAUUGAAUUUAUUCUCAUUUUUAUCCUUAAUAUUUUUUAAUGUUUGUGUUGAAAUAAUUACUUUUUAAUACAAAAUUUUAAAAAAUAUUUUGUCAAUUUAGACAAAUAUAUGAUUGUUUAAAUUAAAAUAUAAAUUUAUUUGUUUUAUUCUACUUAGUUUAAUAAAAAAAUAAAAAAUUGAUAUUAUACUUUUUAAUGAUAAAUAAUUUGAAAUAAAUUAAAAUGGUAUCAUAGAAGCAUUGAUGUGUAAAAUAAAAUAAUGUUAAACAUAAAAAUAACUAUGCUCUUUUAUUUUACAAUUUCAUCUUGUUUAACAACUUAUUUAACAGAUAGUUUUUCAGCUUUCAGUUAGCUUGUUAGUUAACGUCAUCGUUGUAAGUUGCUUGGUAUUAUAGAAAAGGAGAGAUUAAAAAUGAAAUGAACAUGGGAGAGAAAAAUAUUUUUUCUACUAAAAAGUUUCUAGUUACCAUAAACUCCACUUUCCGAGAGGUUAAGACUUCUAAUAUACACCAUUUGGUCACAUAUAUAAGCAAAAACGACAUCUUAGGUUCAUUCAUUUAAUAAAUGUAUAUAACCAUUAAUAAUGACUAGAUACAUUCAUUAAAUGAAUAGACCUAAAAUAUUUUUUUUGCUUAUAUAUGUGACCGGAUGAUGUAGCUAUUUAAAAAAAAAGAGAAUUCUAAUAUAUUAUAGGAGCCCAUAUAUUAUGUAAUUAGUUUGUCCCCUUCAUAUAUGCAUAUUAUAUAAAUAUUCCAGAGUCAGUUAGAUUCAGCUGAAUCUGAAGAUGAAUAUGAAAUCUAAUGGAACUCUGAAAACCAAAUAUUAUGAUCAAUGAACAUUCAUACUAACACCACAAACACAUAGAGAGUAGAAAUUCACAAAGUUUUCAAAAUAGAAGAGAAGAGUAGCAAGGAACGGUACCUGUGUGUGUGUGUGAAAUCCAAAACCAGGUUGCUCUGUUCUGUUCAGUUCCAGUGAGUCCCUUACAACCGAUUGCACUUUACUCCUUCUCCUUCUUAUACCAGCUCACAAGUCUUCGGUCCAUUUUGGAUCCGAUCUAUAGACACAAGAUUUUUAACGGAGAGAAGAUAAUUUUGUUAAGGGUGUGUUUGGUUCAAACAAGGAAAUAAGAGAUUUUAAUGGACAGAAUGAAAAGAGAAUGGAGGGAUGUGAUUUUGAAUCAUGUCAUGUUUGGUUAAAAGAAUAACAGGGGAGAUGAUAGAUUUUAAAACAUAUUUAUAUUUAAUUUAUUGUCUUGCGUUUUUUGAGAAAUUGAAGAUAAGGAAUCACAUUUUUGUCCAAUAAACUAUUUCACUUUCAUUUCCCUCCCAUUUGGAGGGGUAUGAAAUUGAGUUAUGAGGGGUUUUGGGUGACCCCUAAUUUUAGACCACUUUUUUUAACCUGCUAUAACAGGUCAACACAUUUUUUUUUAAAGAAUUUUAAUAUAUGACAAAUUUUUAAUGAUAUUUUUUCUUAAAAAAAAUAAUGUGUUGACCUGCUAUACCCGAUCAAAGUAGGUGGUGUAAAAUUACACCACCUAAAAAUGGUGCAUAUUAGGUUCUCCCGGGGUUUUGUAUCUCUCCAUUCAUCUCCUCCACCUCCUAAAAAUUGAACUAAAUAACUUUUUUAAAUAAAAUAUCCGCUUCCUUCCAUUACACUCCAACAAAAUAUUGUGCAAUUGUAUUGCUUCAGUACUCUUAUAAAAAAAGAGAGUUUAGUCGAACCGGAUUGGUUUGGAUAUAGAGUGAUAAAAUGUUCGAACCAAUCAAACAGGUUCGGUUUGGGUUGGUUCGGAUUUCAUGAUUUUUUACUUCUAAAUCCGAACCAAACCAACCCGAUAUCAAUCGGAUUGGUUCGGUUUGGAUGGUCGGAUUUGAAAUAAAAAAAUAUUAUAUGGUAAUAUGCACGAAAAUUAUUCUAAAAACGUGAAAAAUUAUUAAUAAUAUAGAAAAAUCCAACAUUUUUAAAGAACGGAACAUUCGAUAAUGAAAUAAUCCAUAUAAUUUAAAUAAAACUAACAUCCCUAAUACAAAUAUAAAUAUGCAAUGUAAUGGGUUGAAAUUGUUUGAGCUUAAUGUAAAAAAAUUCUCAAUUCAUUGGGUUGGUUCGGAUUGAUCGGUUUUUCAAUCCCUAAAUCUGAUACCCGAACCGAUAGUGAUCAGAUUCAGUAAAAAAAAUCCGAACCGAACCAAUGAUUCAAUCCAACCCACCAUAAUGUGUUCGUUUCAGAUUGGUUUAAUUGAAUUCGCGGAUCGGACUAUACCCGCUUACACUUCUACGCUUGCGUCUAUUGUGAAUUUGGGUUUAAAACACAUCAUGUGCUUUACUUGAAAAUUUGGCUUACGAAAAUUAUGGGCUCAUGGUACCGAUCCCUUGCAGUAAGACUAUGUACAAUGGUUGAAUGAAUCCAUUCAACACUCUACUUUUUCACUUUUUACACUCAACAUCGUCUUCUCUCUCUUCCACCUAAUAAUUCAACACACAUUCAACUUUUACUCAAUACAAUGGUUUUGUUUAAUAAAAUUCAACACCCUACCCCACCACUUUUAUUUCAUAUUCUUUACUUUCGUUUAUGUUUUUGUGAUUAUAUAUUAAUAAAAAUUAUCAAUUUAAAUUAAGUUAAAAUAAUUUAGAGUUAAUUUUUUUUUCUUUCUAGUUUAGUAAUUUUAUAUUCUUAAUUAAUUUUUUAUUGCAAGUAAAAAAAGACUACAUAUAGGGAUAGUCAUUAUUAAAACAAGUAAAAUUAAAAAAAAAACUUAAAAUGCAAUAUAAUACACUAAUUAAAACAAGUGAAAUUACAAAAAAAACUUCAAAUGCAAUACAAUACACUAAGCAAACAAAUUUAUUUAAAAGGAUUAUUGUUGGGAUCCAUUUCACUAAAAAUAUGUUUAGAGCUACAAACAAUAGUUUAUUGGAGGCUAAAUACAAAAACUAGAAGGGAAAAUGUCGUUUUUUUUUCUAUGUCCAAAUCAAAUGAACAAAGUCUCUAUUUAUAGACAAAAAAAAUGAUGAAUUUUGGUGAAAAAAAAAUUAAAUAAAAAAUUACUUUACUACGAAAUAAUUGACCCCAAAUAAUUAUGAUGAGAUAAGAAUCUGAAAAUUACAACAACCAAUGAGAUUUUGCCAUGUGUACUUAACGGGACCAAAUCACUAUUCAUUUAACAUUGAAUAACCCUUUCAACAUCCCCAUUGGAGCCAUUCAACAAUUGAAUGAGUUUUUCAACACCCAUUCAACUACCCCAUUGCAUGUAGUCUAAUGCAUCGUAGUCUCCGCCAUAAUUAAUGGAAAACAAAAACUAACAAUUAAAUUAUUAUUUACAUAUUUUAUAUGUGUAUUAUGAACUUGGUCACGAAAUUAACCAUUCAUUUCUAUUCAAAAUUUAUCCUUACCUUUUUUUUUUUAUCUUUUAUAGUAUAUCAAUUGGUUUAUGAAAAGUUUGAGAGUUGAUGCACACUUCAUUUCAUUUGGUCAUUUGUAUACAAAAUACAAAUGACUUCAAACUCAAUACAUGUUUUUAAAUCUUUUUGCAAUGCCACAAAAUCAAUUAUGGAGUACAAUUUAGGUGUCAUAAUUCAUUCUGAAGAAAAAUAAGCUGAUUUAAACAUACUCUCUAAUUUUUUUUAGGGAAAUGGAAGGAAGAAAGAGAUUUGUAAUCACAUCCAAGUCCCAAAAUUUGUUUCUGCCGAAUAGGAACAUGCAUUUUUGAUAAUUGUCUUAAGAAUUAUAACAUAACAGCAUUGCUCAAUAGAUAAUGGAUAGCGAAAACACAAACCACAAACAUUACUGACCAGUUGUAUGUACAGGGCUUAAAAGUUUGAGACAAAAGGUUUGUACUUCUUCAGGUCAAGAACUACACUAGCCACUGAGCCAACAACAGACACUGCUGACACUACAAGGCAAACUACACUUAUAAUUUGCAGAAAAAUCCAUCUCCUACUCCAUUUUGGCAUCUUCUUCUGUUUGAUAUACAUCUCCACUGGGUAAUAAACUGUUAAAGGCCAAAAAUUCAGAGCUCCAAGGAUCCCCAUAACGUCAUUGAAGAAUGGAAUCAACAUUGCUAUAAAAGUGGUUGAGAUAACAAACAUUGUUCUCCAAACCAAUCUAAACAAGUUUAGAUUAUAAGGAGCACAACCAGGAAUUGGAAUCUUGUAUUCCUUGUUAACUAAUGGCCACCUUUUUACUACCUCUUUCUCAACAAAUGCAAAGAGGGGUUGGGAAUACACUUGGUAUGCUCCAAACAUGUGAACUACAAUUGCUGCAUUAGCAAUGUCUAUAAGCCAAUAUGAUUUGGAGUAGCCAAAUCCAGUUAGCAGAUUACCAGGUGCUGUGUCUCCAAAAGCAGCAUAGCCAAAGCACCCACAAAGCAUGUAAAAUGCUGUGAUAACUCCAAUGCUUAUAUGGGUGGCCUUCUUCAUUGUUUUCACUUCAGAUGGUGGGGUUUUAAUGGUGUCCUGUGUGGUCAAAGUUUGUUAUAUGUUAAUUAGUUUCUAUGAUAAAACUGCCUUUUGCUUUUCUUACUUUUGAAAAAAAGACAAAUAAGAGGUAUCAAUAACCUGAAUUUCCAUGAGAAUUUGAGAGAAUGUAUAGGCGAAGGAUAUGUCACCAAGAGCUUGGAACACUCCCCAUGCUUUUUCAGCUUUUGUCACCAUUCCAAUACUAACUCCUGUGAGACUACCCUUGAUGGUACCCGUUUCUGUUCAACAGUUAAAGAUCCAAUUAAACAAAAGAAUGUUAGUAUAAAUAAAUAGUUUUAAUUAAGAAAUAAGUUUUUAUUAUUAUAAAAAGAAGGCAUUUGACCUGCAACUUUAGCAAUUCCCAGAUAGAGACCAAUUAAGGAAUAUGUGAAAGACAUGAUUGCUGCAACAAUUGAGAGCCACCAUGUUUGAUGAAAAUCUGGAAUUUGAGAAAAGAAAACUUGGCUUACUCCAAAACUGAUCAUGUAUGGGUUGCUUGAAAUUGGACAUGGGUUUUUUCCGCCUGAGGAAUGGAGGCAGUCUGUCCUUGUUAUUGCUCUGUCAUCCAAAAACCGGUUAAAUUAAUGUAUUAACACUUUUCAGUUUCUAAAUUUUUAUAUUUCAAAAAUAUCAGAAGGAAGCAUUAACUCACAUCAUGCUAAUGGCAGCCGUAAUUGUGUAUCCUAUUGCAGCGCCGUAAAGACUCGAGUACUGGACUAUCCCACAAAUCUGAGCGUAGCGAGUACCUGCAAAAUACAUUAACUCUAAUGAAUCAAUCUGAACUAUUUAAUAAAAGAAUCGAGGGCUAAGAAUCUGCGGCAGAUAGCUGAAGAGAGUACGACUGUAGAGAAUCCUACUAAUGUGUGUGUGUGUGUGUGUGAAUAUAAUUACCAAGAAUGUUCUGAACUGCAUCCAUGAAAGAAUAGUUUCUUUUUCCGAAAAUGGGGUCUCCAUAACGAUAACAGUCAGCUAGAAGUAAUGAAGUGUACCAAGUGAUGAUGCUGAAGGAGAUCAUCACUACAGAACCAGCAACCCAGCCCAUUUGAGCUAUGGCCCAGGCUAAAGACAGCACCCCAGAUCCUACAACGGCGGUUACUAUGUGGGAGCUUGUAGUCCAAAGAGUUCCUACCACAAAUUAACACACCACUAUGAACAUCUUCAUGGAAAUGAUUCUUUCAUUUUACUACAUCUUUGGAAAAUAACAUUAAAAUGGCAUAAACUAGAAACUUAUCCCAGUAGAUUUUGGUACAUGAAAUCAAACAUGCACUUAGUGUGUGUUUGGGAGUGUAGCGGGCAACCUAAUAAUUGAUUUUGAAGCACAAAACAUGGUAGAGAAUUGGUUUUCACAUGUUUAGAUACUUUCUAUCAUAGUAAAUUAUAGGCUAAAAUCAACUAUAGAGAACACGAAUUCUUAAACAUUAAUCUAAAGACACACUAACACACAAGUUUGUAACAACUUCUAGUUCCUUAUAAUCAAGUCUGAUACUAAACUAAUCAGAAAAGCUUCUCCCCAAAUUUAUUUUAAAUUUAGAACCAACUGUAAAAUAUCCAAACAUGGAAUUACAUGAUAGACCCGUGUGGAGUUUUAAAAUGAGAAAGAUAUAUUCUCGUAAGAGGCAAAUUAAUUAAUGUAAAAGUACCUAUAUAACAUAUAUUAAUUUGAACCUGUUCGUUUAAGAUGGCCAUCAUCGUCGUGGGAUUCGGAGUUCGGCUGUGAAGAUAAACCAUCUAUGGAGUCCUUCACCAUGUCAAAACCUUGAGGAUGGCUCAGCAGGUUGGUUCUGAAAGAGUUUUCAAUCAUCAAUUGUGAACCAAAGACACCAAAAUGAAGUAUAAUCGAGAGAAUAUUGAUAAUGAUGUGUAGAAGUUUGAAUAUAACUUGUAAUUUCAAAACUUAAGUGUUACAAGAAUGUUGUUAUUUAUAUGUACAACAAUAAUCAAUUUAAAAAAAAAUAACAAAUCUAUCAACAAAAUAAAAUACAUUCAAAUUUAAAAUUCAAACUACUACGAGAAAUAUGAUAGAUUUUGUAGGUAGUAUAAGAAGAGAAAGAAUGAAAAAGAGAGAAAAUUACUAAAAAGAAACACUCAGUCUCUCCCUCUUUUCUCCUCAAUUUGGGCUUGAACGACCCCAAACUCAUGACAAAUGAAGAAUAAUUGUAUUCACUUCAAUUCCACAGACCCAAAACAGAGUAACAGCAACUAGUUUCCAUAAUUUAACACCCCAAUUCAACUUUUUUUCAGCUUUUCUUGUAAAAGUUUCUGCAUAUUCUUAUAAUGUUGGUUGCUCAUUCAUGUCUAUUUUAUAUAAAUAUCCAGAACCAGCUGAAUCAGAGACACACACAGUCACACAGAGUAGAAAUCAGUACAUGAAUUUCACAAAUAGAAGAGAAUUAGUUGCAUGCAACGGUACCUGAAAUCCAAAACCAAGUUGCUCUGUUCUGUUCUGUUCUGUUUGCUCCUUGACCAGAACCGAAUGAAUGCAUGCAGAUGCAGUUCACUAGUUCUUAUACCUACCUGCUACCUGCUGAAACAACCAGUGCCGCUUUAUCAGUGAAUUAGACGCAAGAUUUGUAACUGGGAGUGUACAAUAGAAUAGAAUACAAACCAAUUAAAUUUUGAUUUGGUUUUUUAAAUUGGCUAUUUCUCUGGUACAGGAAAAUUUUUAUAGGUAUUGUAUAUGAAUGACAUGUACCAAUCGCGUAUUUACACAUGUAAAUAUUCUUUUGUUUAUUAAUUAAGGUUGUGAACUUAUUGUUAUUUUAAAUCAACCCUAUGAAAUUAUUAAAAUUUCCAUUUUAGUCCCCUUGUGAGGUGAAAAUGUCUGACGCUUCGAUUGAGAAUCAUUGGAAAUCAAAUUAGGGUUCUAGAUACCGGGGAAAAUUCUGAAGUUGUUAUUGAUUUCAUCUUCUUCAAGAAAAUUCCUAAAUCCAUGCUAUGUGAAAUGGCCUAAGCGAAAGUGGUGACGUGAACAAGGAGAACAAAGUGUCGCGAGUCCACGAGGAAGGCCAGGGUAUAGGUCGGGAAAGAACAGUGCGAACGAAUGGGAUUGAAACGUGAAACACUGAUAAAAUUGAUAGAAACGUCAAAGAUUUCAUCUUUCUGGGCGGAGUGACUAUUUCUUCUGGGAGAUUUGUUCACUACCACAUUUGGUGGAGGCUACAACGUCUUAUAAAUUGAUAAUAAGUCCCACCUUAUUCAAACCCAGCCAUGGACAAUAAGUCAAUAACGAUCCCAGAAAAUGGUGGCAAGGAUUUUGUUCAUAUGAAUUCUGGUAUACGAAUUAUGCUAUGUCUUUUAUUCUCACUAAUAUUCAUAUUGUUGUUGCCCUGCAAUUUGUUACUACUUAUUACUGCUUCUCCAAAUUUUGAUUUCUAUUUGUGUUGUCUCCAAAUUCUCACUACUCAUUUGUGAGGUUGGAAGUUUUUUUUCUCUCCAUAGAGAUAUCCAGAAACAAAACGGAGGGAUUAUUUGUGUUCUGUUUUGGGUGAAAGAUUUUGGAUUUGAAUCGUUUUUAGUUGAAGGGGUUUUUGGAUUUUGAGUUUAUGGGUUCUCUUUUGGGGUGAGAUUGAGAAAGAAGUAGAAGAUUGAGAAAAUGGAAAUGAGGUGAGAUUGAGUGUUGUUCUAUCCUAAGAACAUUGAAUGGGGGUAGAGUACCCAAAGUGUGAGGAGAGUGAUACGAAUGUGUUAUGGAGAGAAGUUCUAACCGCUAGAGAGAGAGAGAGAAUAACUGAAUUUCAAUCUGAAUAUUUUUUCAAAUGAGUCAAGAGUCUCUUACAAUUGGUAACCGUCCCCUAUUUAUAGGUGUGGAGUUGGCCUCGGGGAGAGAGGCCCAAGUCCCUGGCUGUAACACCCCGAUUUCGGUAGCGUCACUUUAGUAACCAAAAAGCAAGUAAAGCGGAAAAACGUGAAUAUUUUUUUUCGAUUUAUUUAAAUAAUAAACUUAACGACUUGUCGAAAUAAAGACUCUUUAGCGAAAGAUAAAACAUAACUAAUGUACAAAAUAUUUACAGCUCCCGCUGUAAGUAGAGAACCACGUCACGAGUAACCUCCAGUGACGGGAAGUAACCGAAAGUAGUGCCCGUGGGCAAUAUGUACAAACCAAGUGAAAGGUCAAGUGUUCGCAAUACAGUCCUCCAAAAUGAAAGUAAGUCAGUCCAAAACUGCCUGAAUAAGACCUCCUAGUCCAACCAACUCUCUGUGAUUUUCAUAAAGAAAACCACACAAAAACUAACGGUCGGGAACCUACCCUGCCCCAAAAUACGAACAUGAAGACCAGAGCUAUAACUCUACUCCUACCCUAAUCCUGUCCAGAGGAGUACACCCCAGCACUCACAACUACAUACUGGCGUGGUCAUCGUCCGAAUCAGAAUCCAGGACGACUAGGUCAAUGUCUGCAACCAUCCCUCCUCUCGCUGCUGCAACAAGCUCCUGUGCUGGUCUCACGGUUCCAGAACCCGAACCAAGGUCAGCAGCAACGGCAACAGUAGGUGAGCUGGAGUCCGAUGGAGUCCCUCCCACAGGCUCCUCCUCCGAGGGGUCCUCAUCGUCAGAAGACGACGGUGGUGGUGGUACUCCUACACCGGGUCCGCAGUGCACGCCGGGUGGCAGGUUGAAGCUGACAGUAUAACACCUCAGAACUCCCUCCAUCAAGUGUCCCAGACUGUCGACACGAUCUUCCAUUAUUCUCCCCGAGUAAGUCGCUCUGUGGCCAGCGGGGUCGACCACCCAUGAGCCGGGGAUUUCCUGAUCAAGCAUCUCAAACCUAGUCCCCCCCGAAGGGUGGACCAUCGUGAACCAAUCCGCCAUGGACAUCUGACAAAGGGUGUAGUCCGCCAAAACACAAGCAGAAGGCGCGAGGGUCUACUCCAAAGAAUUACAUAAGUAAUACACCCAGUAGAUAAAGUUUAAGGGAUAGCUACUUAGGCCUAGAAGUAUGUGAUAGCAUUAUAAAUUGUAUAUCUUCCAAUGAAUAUGAAUGACAAUUAAUGACAAUUAACAUGUGUCAAAUAAGAUUAACAAGUAUCAAUCACACUCGGCAACUAAGUCAGUAUGCAUGGUGCAUGAAUGAGAUGACGAGGAACAAGAUGCAAUCCGGAAGGAUGGACACCAACGAGUCAGUCCUAUCACCGGCCAAAGUGGGACCAUUUCUGCUCGGGAAUCUCUUACACCAAACAAAAUGUAGUCAGAUUAGCAGUAUACCCAUAGGCCUGCCAUUUCUGUCUGCUACUAAGAAUCACCGUAGUGUUCUUAUAUGGAAAUCCGGGUCUUAGGACCAUUUUGGAAUCCAUCGAGGUCCGACUUCCCGUCGUGUAUUAACCCCAGAAAUGUGUGAAUGAAUGUAGCGUGAUUAGCCAAACAACGUCUCCGACCUCACUCGUCACGUCGUCACGUGUUCUAACUAACUUAUUGUCUCUAAAAAGAAUACCCUAAGGUAAAUGUCGAUUCUGCGACAAAAGACAAUUAAAUAUAAAAAUUGUAUUAUCUCAUGAUGACUUCUCGAGUCAUCUGACUCAUCUAAUUCCGAUGGUCAAAAACUGCUCAACGAGCAAAGAGUAACAAUGUACUUGGAAACUUAUAGUUCCCUGACUUAUCCUUUAGAUAGUCGAAUAAAUAAACUGCUCAUCGAGCAAAGAGUAUAAAAUACUCAGAAACUUAUUAGUUUCCCGGCUUAUCUUUUAGAUAGCCAAACAACAAAAUUGCUCAUCGAGCAAAAGAGUAUUAAAAUACUCAGAAACUUAUUAGUUUCUCUAAAUCUUGGAUUCGGCGACACUUCUCAUUUUCCAAAGCUAGUAUUCAAACCCUAAGCUUUCAUCUGAGAUUGUUAUCGUUAUUUAAAGGGUUCAGAGGUUGUUUAAUGUCUUAUGAAUUUUCCUUGUGAAAUGGUUUCCAUUUAGUUUUAUCUCUAAUCUUAUGAGUUUGAAAGAUCCCAUAAUCUCAACUAACUCCCAGAGAAGUUCUUGAUCCACUAAAAUAUUGUUAAGGGCCCGAACCUCGGUCCGUCCCGUCAAACUUUCCCAAAAUCUCAUGAUAAGUUCUGGCAUAACUGCCCGUUUAUCCUCUCUGACGUGCAACAGAUAUAUGUGUAAUUUCAAAAUCAAAGUAACACAAUCCAACAGUCAUGGCACAUAUAUCAACACAUCCUAGAUUAACCAUUUAGCACAUAGCAUGUAAAUCAAUAUCAAAAACAAAUCAAGCGAUAAAUGAUUAUCAUUGUCAGCCGAAGCCUCAGAAAACAUUUCCCAGUCAAUCACAAUCAAGUGCAUAAACAGUAAAUCAAGUCGAAUUCGUCGACACCUAAAGCAUUAUCUAGUAUUCAGUGAGUAGCCCUCACCUGUAGCUCCUCUAGUGUGAUCNNNNNNNNNNNNNNNNNNNNNNNNNNNNNNNNNNNNNNNNNNNNNNNNNNNNNNNNNNNNNNNNNNNNNNNNNNNNNNNNNNNNNNNNNNNNNNNNNNNNNNNNNNNNNNNNNNNNNNNNNNNNNNNNNNNNNNNNNNNNNNNNNNNNNNNNNNNNNNNNNNNNNNNNNNNNNNNNNNNNNNNNNNNNNNNNNNNNNNNNNNNNNNNNNNNNNNNNNNNNNNNNNNNNNNNNNNNNNNNNNNNNNNNNNNNNNNNNNNNNNNNNNNNNNNNNNNNNNNNNNNNNNNNNNNNNNNNNNNNNNNNNNNNNNNNNNNNNNNNNNNNNNNNNNNNNNNNNNNNNNNNNNNNNNNNNNNNNNNNNNNNNNNNNNNNNNNNNNNNNNNNNNNNNNNNNNNNNNNNNNNNNNNNNNNNNNNNNNNNNNNNNNNNNNNNNNNNNNNNNNNNNNNNNNNNNNNNNNNNNNNNNNNNNNNNNNNNNNNNNNNNNNNNNNNNNNNNNNNNNNNNNNNNNNNNNNNNNNNNNNNNNNNNNNNNNNNNNNNNNNNNNNNNNNNNNNNNNNNNNNNNNNNNNNNNNNNNNNNNNNNNNNNNNNNNNNNNNNNNNNNNNNNNNNNNNNNNNNNNNNNNNNNNNNNNNNNNNNNNNNNNNNNNNNNNNNNNNNNNNNNNNNNNNNNNNNNNNNNNNNNNNNNNNNNNNNNNNNNNNNNNNNNNNNNNNNNNNNNNNNNNNNNNNNNNNNNNNNNNNNNNNNNNNNNNNNNNNNNNNNNNNNNNNNNNNNNNNNNNNNNNNNNNNNNNNNNNNNNNNNNNNNNNNNNNNNNNNNNNNNNNNNNNNNNNNNNNNNNNNNNNNNNNNNNNNNNNNNNNNNNNNNNNNNNNNNNNNNNNNNNNNNNNNNNNNNNNNNNNNNNNNNNNNNNNNNNNNNNNNNNNNNNNNNNNNNNNNNNNNNNNNNNNNNNNNNNNNNNNNNNNNNNNNNNNNNNNNNNNNNNNNNNNNNNNNNNNNNNNNAUUGAGUAAACUAAAUAAAAGCAGGGUCAUUAAGCAAAUACUAAAUUAAUAAGUAUAAAUUAGAAAAUAGUGUUAUGUCAUUACUAAUUUAUUCAUGUCAUCUUAAGUGUAUUUAUUUUAGUGGUACACAUCACUAAUGUAUGAUACACUCACCUGAAUUUAUGGGCACCCAAGCAUGCACCUUUUAAAUUGUGGUAAUCUAACUAAAAUUCAGCUGAUUUUGGUUUGGGUUAUCUGGUUUGUAUAUAAAAUAAAUAAAUUAUUAUUUUUAAACUUCUUAACAAUUGUUGAAAAAUAGGAAAUCACUUUUAGCCUAAAUAAUUUUUUUUUGGUACAUCGGGAAAGUAAAAGACAAAAAGAAAAAAACUACAAAGCUAGCAGAUUCCUAGCCAAGACGGGAUCAAUCUGAGAGGGGGGGGUCCUCUAACCGAAGAAAAUCACACUGCUGAGACAGACCUAAACCGGCCAAGCAAUCGACCACUUCAUUAGCACUACGGGGAACAUGCUGGAGCUGAACACUCUACUGACGCUGAAGGAGCUGAUUAAUCUCCAGAAAAUAUGAUGCUAAGGCAUGGUAGUGAAAAGCAUCAUCCCGAAGCACCUCAACAAUCUCUAAAUAAUCAGCACUACGAAUUCCAGUGUCCCAUAAGAGAGAGACCCAUCCUCAAUGUCGUCACUUUUAGCCUAUAUUUGAUUCAUUGAAAAACAUAAAAUUCAAAGUUUUAUGGAAAAAAUGAUACUAAUGGUUCUAAAUGCUAAUAUCACUUUAAUCAAUAUUAAUUUUUGACUUAAUUGCACUUUGAGCCCUCACUACCGGCAUUUGUGCAAAGUAAGUCACUAAUUUUUUAGAAAGUUAAAAAUAUAUUAUAAAAAGCUUGAAAGCUCUCAAGCAGAGAAAACAACCCAAUCAGCAAUAACAGCACCAAAAAAACCGAUAGAUGCCAACAAAGGACCAAAGCAACAACACUCCCCAAAGAAGAAAACCUUCCACAUUCAUGUAAUAUAUUUUUUUUAGAAGCAAAAGAAUGCAUUAUAAGAGAGUAAAAGAGGUACUCCAACCCAUAAUACAAAGAAGCAAGAAUUAGAGAAUAAGCAAAGAGUGAAGAGUGAAGACAUACGAGAGGUAGAAGAAAAGUUACAGAAAAACAUCUUUGAGGAUCCUAGAGUCGGUGGCUGCACCCUCUCAUCCAGGCAAAACAUAUAUGGAGAACAUAGACCUAACACAUUGGUAGCUAUAUCACCCUUCCUUAUUCUCUAUUGCCUUGUUCAACUUUAGAUACAUUGUCGUUGAUGUAGGUGUCAUCAAUCUCCUAAACAAUUUUCCAUCAAAAAACGCUCCUAAACAACUCUAUUCAUUGAAACUACAGUUGUUACUCUAUUGCAAAUUUGCAACUAAAGUUUAAGUAACACAUUAAUAUAUAAAAAAAUGAUUAGCUUUUCUAAUAAACCAUAAAAGUAUUUCCACCUUUAAAGAACCUUAAAGUAUGUGGGUUGAGUAUGGGAGGUCCAUGUUGGGGGACACAGGGGAGCUCAUGGGUCGAGGAGUAAGACACCAAAAAAUAUCGACACCACAUCUUAACCUAAAAUCUUAAUGCAUUAGAUUUAUGGGUCACAUCUCUUAUAAAGUCUUCUCCUUACUCAUCUUAACCAAUGUGGGACUACAACUCACACUUGAAUUCUCAACAAUCUCCUCCUCAAGUGCGAGUCACCACCACAUUAUCAUGGCCUACCUCCGUCGAAACGUAUCCACCCUUGUACCGCCGUUCGCACCAUGGUCCAAUCAUGUGCAACGGGACACUCCACACUGACCACAUCAUUAGGAGAUUUUCGAUACAAGGAGUCGUUAUCAUGGUCUCACGAACCAUUAACUCUAAUUCCACUUUUUAGGGGAGAUAGGGAAGUUCAUGUGCCGAUGAGCAAGACACCAAGAGAUAUCGGCACCACAUCUUAACCCAAAACCUUAAGGCAUUAUAUUUAUGGGUCACAUCUCUUAUAAGUCUUCUUCUCACCCAUACUUAAUCAAUGUGAGACUCCAACUCAUUCUUAACUAGGGAUCAAUCCUUAGAUGGUGCAAAUUAUAUUUUCAAUUAAAAAAAAAGUAUUUUCACCUUUCAUGAGUGUUGUUUUUCAUUAUGGACUUAGAUUGUUUUAGCAUUACUUCAUGGCACCUCAAAAUAGCCAAUAACACUUUUCAAAUAUGUCCACUAAUCGUUUCGGACCUAUCAUAUUCUCUUUUCAAUCAUUCUAUUUUUUAACUAUUAACUUUUUAAUCAAACUUUAUCACUAUUUUUUAAAUCUUUUUCAGUAUAUCAAUUAGAUUAUGAAAAUAUCCAUACACACUACAUAUACAAGUGACUUCAAAUUCAACGUAUGUGUUUAGAAACUCUCUAAAGUCAAUUUUAGAGAAGCUUCUUUAAAUAUAAUUUAGGAAAUAUAAUUGAUAAGUACUCCAAUUUGUACAAAAAAAAACAUACUGCAAUUAAAACAAAAUUAGGGAAAUGGUAGGAAGAAAGAUUUGAAAUGGCAUGCAAGUCCCAAAAUUUGUUCCUACCGGAUAGGAGAACAUGUAUUUUUGAGAAUUGUCUUAAGGGUAACAUUAUAACAACGUUGUUCAAUGGAUAGUACCACAAACAUCACUGCCCAGUUGUAUGUAUGGGGCUUAAAAGUUUGUGACAAAAGGUUUGUAUUUUUUUAGGUCAACCACUAUACUAGCCACUGAGCCAACGACAGAAACAGCUGAUACUACAAGACAGACAACACUUAUAAUUUGCAGACCAAUCCAUCUCCUACUCCAUUUUGGGAUCUUCUUUUGUGUGAUAUACAUCUCCACUGGGAAAUAAACUGUUAAAGGCCAAAAUCCCAAUGCUCCAAGCAACCCCAAAACGUCAUUGAAGAAUGGAAUCAACAUUGCUAUAAAAGUGGUUGAGAUAACAAAUAAGGUUCUCCAAAUCAAUCUAAAUAAAUUCAGAUUGUAGGGAGCAAAACCACCAGGUAAUGGAAUUUUGUAUUGCUUGUUAACUUUGGGAAACCUUUUCACUGUCCCUUUCUCAACAAAUGCAAAGAGGGGUUGGGCAUACACUUGGUAUGCUCCCACAAGGUGAAUUGCAAUGGCUGCAUUAGCAAUGUCUAUAAGCCAAUAUGCUUUAGAGUAGCCAAAUCCAGUGAGCAGAUUCCCAGGUGCUGCGUCUCCAAAACCAGCAUAGCCAGAGCACCCACAAAGCAUGUAAAAUGUUGUGAUAACUCCAAUACUUAUCUUUGUAGCCUUCUUCAUUGUUUUAGCUUCACAUGGUGGGUUUUUAAUGGUGUCCUGUAGUCAGAAUUUAUUGUUUGUUAAUUCGUUUCUAUGAUAAAACUCUCUUUUCAUUUGUUUCAAAAGUGAAUGCUCAAUUUUGUCAUUAAAAGUGUAAGCAUAGAACAAAUUAGUCUCUAAAAGAAGGAAAUACUCUUGUGAUCCUCAAUUGUAUUAAAUGUCGAUCAAAUUAUUUAUUGUUGACCAACAUUUGACACAAUCCCACAAGAAUAUUUCUUUCUUCUAGAGAUUAACUUCUCAUACAUUUACACAUUUUUCUCAAUUUUUACAAAAGAAUUAAAGGAGCCAAUUACCUGAAUUUCAAUGAGAAUUUGAGAGAAUGAAUAGGCGAAGGCUAUGUCACCAAGAGCUUGGAAAGUUCCCCAUACUUUUUCAGCUUUUGUCACCGUACCAAUACUAACUCCCGUGAGACUACCCUUGAUGGUACCAUUCUCUGUUUUCAAGAUUAAGACAAGAAUAUCAGCAAUGAAAAAUAAUGAAGAAGUUUUUAUUAUCAUACACAAAUUAAAGUAGGCAUGUCACCUGCAAUUUUAGUAAUUCCCAGAUAGAGACUAAUUAAGGAAUAAGUGAAAGACAUGAUUGCUGCAAGUAUUGAGAGCCACCAUGUUUGAUGAAAAUCUGGAAUUUGAGAAAAGAAAAUUUGGAUUACUCCAAAACUGAUCAUAUAUGGGUUGCUUGAAAUGGGACAUGGGUCUUUUCCGCCUGAGGAAUGUUGACAGUCAGUCCUUUUUAUCGUCCUGUCAUCGAAAACUGGUUAGAUUAAAACAGACCCAUCAACUUUACUCAAACUAAAUUAGAUAAUCUUAUUAUUAGACCUGUGGAAAAUGCUGAAAAUUUCGUAAUUUCAAAAUAAAAUUAUUCAAUUAAAACUGUAAAUCUUUUUAAAAAUAUAUUAUUUUUUGGUAGAAAAUGCUAAAAGGAAAACAAAAAGAAAACACCACAGCAGACCAUGUGAAGAAUGUCGGUUAGAGUGAAUCACCACAUGUAGAAGAACUCUGAAGCGAAGAGAGCACUAACGUCAAAUUAGAGUGAACCACCACAUCACAUAAACCAACCUCCCAGCAAAGACGCAACUCAUGAUACAUGCACUUAAAAAUAUAUUAUAAUAAUAUUAUAUUUUUAUCAAAUAAUUUUUUAAUUUUUUUUUUAGUGAAUGUCCGCAUAAUGCAAGCGCCAAGAAAGAAAUUUUGUGACGUGACAUAGAAUGGGGAACAUUUUAAUAAAUACAGAAAUCUAUAUCUAGAUUCUAUAUGUUUUAUGAAAUAAACUAGAUAUAAAGUGUUUGUGUUGCAUAGAUUAUUUAUAAUAUUUUAUAAAAAUAAUUACAUAUUUUCAUUUUUUUUUUACAUUUAUAAAGAAAUUUUAACCAUUAAAAUUAUGAUAUUUAUAUCUGUAAUAAUAUAAACAUCAUUAGGUAAAUUAAAUAUUUUUACUAUGAUAAGUAAUUUAUUUAUGUUUUUAAUUCAAUUUUUACUAAUAUAUACGUAGUUCAUUACUUAUAUUUAAAGUAACUUGUUUUAAAAUAAUACACAUAUAUAUCAGAUUAAUAGUAGAUAACAUAAUAAAUUCUAUUUUAGUUUCAUUUUAUUAUUUUAAAAUUUUUCAUUUGAUAAUUAAUAUUUAAAAUAAUUUUAAUGUUAAUAUUUUAAUCAUACGUAUGAAGAGUUUUUUAUUAAUUGUUUGACACAACAAAUCAUAUAAAUGGAAUUAUUAAAUAUUUAAUAUCAUUAUUGAUGAAUAGGUCAGUUUUAGUUUUUGCCUUAAAAUGCAAUUAAUAUUACUAUUGACUAUUGAGUGCAAUAUAUAUAAUUUGAGAAGCAAUAAUUACAUAAUUAAAGAAAUGUUAUUAUAAUUAUUUAACAUUUUUCUCAAUAAUAUUUUUUAUGAUUAAAAAAAUUGGGGAAAAACCAAAAGCAGACUAAGGGCACCCGAAAAGUCACAUAAUAAAGCUCAGAUAACAUAUCAAUUUUUUUGUGUUGUGCUUGAAAAAAAAAAAAAUCAAUCAAAAGCAGUAAGGAAGCAUUAACUCACAUCAUGCUAAGGGCACCCGCAAUUGUGUAUCCUAUUGCAGUGCCGUAAAGAUUCGAGUACUGGACUAUCCCACAAAUCUUAGCAUUGGUAGUACCUGCAAAAUACAUUAACAUUAUGAUCAAUAUAAUGUUUUUUUUUUGUGAACUCAUGAUCAAUAUAAUGUUAUAUCAUUCUAAUUCAUCUUUUUAGUUAAUGUGAGACCUUAACACACAUAUUUCAAGCCCAAAUUGAAUAUUACAUGUGUGACUUUCCAGCACAAAACAUUUGUGGGUGACCAAUAUACGGUUGAACUCCAAUAAACAGAUCUAAUCAUCUAAUAGACUCGGAUACAUAAUUAGAAUUCAGAUUAUGUCUAACUCAUAUACUAAUGUGUUAUGUAUAGUUACCAAGAAUAUUCUGAACUGCUUCCAUGAAAGAAUAGCUUCUCUUUCUCAUAUUUUGGUCUCCAUAACGAUAACAAUCAGCUAGAAGUGCUGAAGUAUACCAAGUGAUGACACUGAAGAAGAGCAUUGCAACAGUACCAGCAACCCAACCCAUCUGAGCUAUGGCCCAUGCUAAGGACAGAACCCCAGAUCCUACAACCGCGGUUACAAUGUGCGAGCUUGUAGUCCAAACGGUUCCUACCACAAAUAAAUUACACAUCAACUAUGAAAAUCUCCAUGGAAAUUGGUAUACAAUUUUCUAUGUGACAGAACAUAAUCAUCUGUGGAAUUAAGAAUUGGGACAAAUUUCUUAUGUGACAGAACAGAAUCAUGGGGGGUUUUAAUAUGAUAAAGAUCUAUAGUGCUAAGAAACAAAAAUUAAAUUGAAUUGGAUUUGUACCUGUUCGCUUAAUACGGCCAUCAUCAUCAUAAAAUUUGGAUUCGGGCUGUGAAGUGCCACCAUCUAUGGAGUGCUCCACCAUGUCUAAAUUUCGAGGAUGGCUCAGGUUUGUUCUGGAUAAGUUUCCAACCAUCAAUUGGGGAAAUGAGUCAGAAAAUGAAAUAUAAUCGAGAGAAUAUUGAUUAUUUUCUUGAGUUUUGUUCGUCCCUAAAUUGAGUUGCAUUCCCCGAUCAAAGAACAAUUUAUUUAUAUAUCAAAAGCUUUUUGAAAAAUAGAAGUAACAUUAUUUAUUAUAAUUAUUACUAUUAUUUUAUUUCCUAAUAGAAUUUCAUAUCAAUUUUGAUAAUAUUAUUAUUUAACGUUUAAAAAUAUUAAAAUUUAAUGGUGCAAUUAUUUGGAAGCUGGUCAUAUUCUUAUCCAAAAAAUAAGCUUUGUCAUACUCUUAAGACCCUUAAGAAAAUGAUGCUUAUUAAGAAAAUAUAUAAUAAGAUCAAUAAAUGUAUUAAUUAUUUAAAAAAAUUAUUCAAUCUUCCAUGUUUAUCCUUAAUGAAUGUAUUGAAUAGUGUGGAAGAGAAUUAAUCAUAAGUGUUAGUCAAACUUUAGAAUUAGAAAAACUAAAUAAAUACAAGGAGUAUAUAAAGAAGAAGAUAAUAAAUAUUCAUAAAAUAUUGUGGGUCUUAUAUUAAGGAACACUAAAAUGUCUUUAGGAGGUCAUAUAAAAAGGAACGAAUGAAAUAUAAUUAAUGUUUUAACAUAGAGUUUUAAUCCUAAAAUUAAUUAUUAUUUAUCUUUCUUCUGUCAAUUAUAUUAGCUCACUUCUUUGCUAAGUUUUCUACAUCCAAAAAAAAAACUGAUAAAUAUGAAUAAAAAAUCCCUUAAAAUUGUACUAUAAAAAGGGCAAAGAGGUAUUUUAAUGGUCUUAGUCCCAUUAGCUUGGUAAUAUUAAUGAGCUGAUGAAUUUUAUAUUUUUUAAAACCUUCUAUAAUCGGGUUUUGGAAUUCAAAUGACUAUCAAUAUUGGGUUCCUUGGCUUUGGUGGAGUGGCUUCUAUCCUCAAUACGGAGCUUGUGGCUAUUUGGCGUGGUCUACAAGUAGCUUGGGACCAAAGCUAUUCGAAGAUUAUCUAGGACGCUACUAAUUUCUUGAGAACCCCUCCCUCCUAUACGUUUGCGCCUCUGAUUUAGCAUAUCACAGUCCGCCUUAGUAGGCAAUGGGUGGUGUAGCCACUAGCUAAUUCAUACUCUUAGAGAAGCGAAUGCAUAUGUGCAUUUCUUGGCUAAAGUGUGAGCGCGCCAAUUGUUAGAUUUGAUUGUCCACCUCCCCAACUUGAGUCUCUCCUAUGAGCGGAUGAUGGGCCUAGUUGGCCUAUCUUUUUGUUUCUUUUUUUUUUGUUUUUCUCUUCCUUUUUUGUCUUCUAGCACAAAAAAAAAAGACUAUCACUAACAAACUGUCAAAAAGAUGUAAAAUUAACAAAUUGCCAUGUUUUUAGAUAUUUCCAUAUAAACAUGAAAUUAUUUUUAGGUAAAUUGUAUGUAGCCAAAGGAAUCAUUAAAAAAAAAACCCUAAAAGCAAGUUGGCAUUGAGCCCCAAACUCAAUGACAAGUGGAGAAUCAUUGUAUUCCUGAAAGCUGUAAUCCAAAUUGAGAGUGAUUUUAUGUAUUCCCUUCAAUCCCACAACAAUGGACCCAAAACUGAGUUACAGCAACUUGUUCCCAUAAUUCAACUUUUUUUCAUCUUUUCUUUUACAAAUUUGUGCAUAUAUUAUGUAAAAAUCCAAAAUCAGCUUAAUCAGAGAAUAAAUCUGAUACUAAUUAACACCACACACACACACAUACUAGAAAUCAAUGGUUCAGAAAAAAAAAAAAACUGAAUGAUUGAAUCCAUGAAUUUGACAAAGAGAUCAAAAUAGAAGAGAAUUAGUAGCAAGAAACGGUCGGUACCUGUGUGUGUGAAAUCCAAAACAACGUUGUGAGAGAGAGUUCAAUCCAGCGAGUUCACAACCGAAUGAAUGCAGUUUAGUCCUUCUUAUACGAGUGUUCGGUCUAAUUCGGCGUGCGAAAGCGAAAGAGCUAGUAUCUAUUUAUCAUUUGGAUGGACGGUGUAGAAUGAAGCAGCUCUGACUUAUAAGUCUAAAUGUUCGUGUUCUCAUUUUCCACAAUCUCUGGCCCCUACCACUGCCAAUGCGGUUAAGCGUUGACAAUCAAUCACUCUCAUCAAAUGAAAUUAAGGUUUUCAUUUACAUUUUCAAUAAAUAUUCAUUAUUAUUAAUAGCCUCACAUUAAUAUAUAUAAAACAAGAAAGGGUGGUAUUCUAGUAUAUCAUUAAUUAGUAGCGCGUAUGAAAAAGAAUUUGUUGAAAGAUGCCUACUUAUUUAGUGCAUUCUUUGGUUUAAAGCCAUGAGACUAAUUCUUUGAGGCUCUGAGAUUAUUUUCAGCUAUUGUUGUUUGUUGCUACUUGCUACGACGAAGUCUGAGUUCUAUGACUAUGACUCCAAUAACUUCCGGAAAUUAGUUCAUUUUUUAGUCCACAGGGAAAUUAGUUUCUAAGGAUAGAAAUAAAAGCAAUGGGAGAAUCAAGAAUGGCUUAUCCUAUUCAAGUUGCAACAUCAGAAUCAGUGAAGUAGACAUGGGACAAAAGUAUAACAUGGAACUUCAAUAAUUAUAUAGAAGCAGAAAUCUUAAGAUAUGCCUUUACUUUUUUCAAGAUAUGAUGGUAGUACUAUAUACAAUUUGGUACCGAAUAAUCCAAAUUAAAUAAAAAACGUAGAUUGAAAAUAACACGAUAUUCAACAGCAAUUAUUCUGAAGUGCCAUUUCUUAAAUGUAAGCAAGCUAAAAGAUAACAUUACAAUUAGGCCACAGCCAUAACCUUUCUUGCUACCUGCCAGUUUGGUUUCCUCGCAAAUGGAGAAGACACAUCUCAAAGACUUUGGCCACGUUGACUCAAACGUAGCAUUGAGCUCAACGGAAAUUCAAACAUUUAAAAGUCUGAGCUGAAUGCUUUGUAUUUCUGGAGGUCGAGCAGAACACCGACCACUGAGCCGAGACCAGCCACGACUGAUACUAAGAGGCAGAACACGCUCAUCAAUUCCAUAAGAAUCCAUUUCGUGCUCCAUCUUGGGAUCUUCUUUUGUAUGAUGUACAUCUCCAAUGGAAAGUAAACAGUUAAAGGCCAAAACCCGAGUGCUCCAAUCACUCCCAGAACGUCAUUGAAGAAUGGAAUCAGCAUUGCUAUGAGAGUGGUGAUGAUAACAAACACUGACCUCGAAACUAACAUAAAUAUGUUCUGGUUGUAGGAUGGAAGACCAGGUAUUUUAACUUUGAAUCCCUUGUCAAUUUUGGGCCAUUUUUUUGCUGCCUCUUUCUCAAUGAAGGCGAAGAGGGGUUGGGCAUACACUUGGUAUGCUCCCACAAGGUGAAUUACAAUAGCAGCGUUAGCAAUGUCAAUAAUCCAAUAAGCUUUGGUGACGCCAAAUCCAGUGAGUAAGUUCCCAGGUGCUGAGUCUCCAAAAGCAGCAUAGCCCAUGCAGCCACAAAGCAUAUAAAACGUUGUAGUCACUGCAAUACUUAACUUUGUAGCCUUCUUCAUUGUAUU